This 71-nucleotide transfer RNA is filed under the name Marmota monax (woodchuck). Its description in RNAcentral is "tRNA.Ala". The record is from RNAcentral. Lineage: Eukaryota; Metazoa; Chordata; Mammalia; Rodentia; Sciuridae.
GGGGCUGUGGCUCAUUGGUAGAGUGCUCACCUUGCAUGCGUGAGGCACUGGGUUUGAUCCUCAGCACCACA